UGCAUUCACUACUGUAAAUCGCUCUGGAUAAGAGCGUCUACUAAAUGACUAAAC
Salmo salar (Atlantic salmon) is the source of this 54-nucleotide non-coding RNA. Lineage: Eukaryota; Metazoa; Chordata; Actinopteri; Salmoniformes; Salmonidae. The record is from Rfam.